UUGAGAACCUUCGUAUUGGUUAUUAAAAAAAUAUUCUUUAAUAAAACCGUAAUGCAUUACAAAAAGUAAUGCAUUAUUUAGAACUCUGUUUGUAAUUAUACUUAAGCAGUUCAGUUCAAAUUAUUAUUGCACCGCAUGUACAUACAGCUUCAUGGAAAAACAAACAACGUUUCUUAACGUACCGAACAAAAUUGCACUUUAUAUAAAAAACGCGUAUACAAUAAACAUGUGUGCUCGUCCGUGCCCUAAUUUUCACGAAAAUUAUAGAAACAAUACUCAACAGAACCGUGUGCAUUCAUAGCGUUUGUAAUUAUUAUUGAAAAGAAGAUACUUUGUAAAGAAAAAGAAAGGAUGGAGGGACAUUGAUAAGCAAUAGACCGCAUCAUCCCGGAGGCAACCAAAUGUACAAAGAAAAAACAUACAGAAACAGACGAAGCUCAUAAAGAUUGCUUUUUCGUGAAAGUGGGACCUUCUGGCGCGACUGGUUUUCAUUUCCCGUAUUUUGCACGGUAUAUUACUUCGCGAGUACAUACACGAUGGUUGCGGAAAAACAGAAAAUAACGAAUGUGGCAAGUGACAAAAAAAAAGACGUACGCAUAUUUAGCCAGAACUUUUGGGCACGAAUACAAACUUCCGAAUGCUAUUUAUUCGUAUCGCAUCAUAGCGGUCGACGCGUGAAAUGAUUUCAAAUAAUGGGAAGUAAUUAAUGUACCGCAUUAAUUUCGCAUCCUAAAAUUGGUCCGCUUUUGAGGUCCGUGCCUCCCACUAUAAAUUUAAAUUUCGAUACCGAAUUGAGCAAACGUUAUUAAUACAUGUAUGUACGAGAUAAUUUAUUAAGGCACGUUCAAUAAGUCCGUUAUCGGUAUUGUGUGUAAGUAUGAAUUUUGCCGAUAAAUCGAUGUGACUAUAUGCUUUUCGACUUUAUUGAAAAUUCGCCACCAGAGAGGAAAUUAAUCUAAAAUCAGAUUUCGCUUCAAAGAAAGAUUUCUCAGCUUAUUCCAUUAUCUGGACAUCAGUCAAGCUUCGAUUUCCCAAUUAUUAAUUGCAAUUGGCAAUUUUGAGAAAUGUGAUAUGACAUAUUGCCAUUUAGCACAAUUGAUGUCUGUCCUAUAAAUUAAUAUGUAUCGCUGAUUAGCAGAGCUUUAUAAACGGGGAUUAGCCAAAAUGCAAUAACCGGGACGGGCCCUAUCAAGUCACAGCGAUCUCACCGGCAGCAAUGCCUUUUACGGCUCCUCCAUCGAUCUCUUGAACGCGGUGGCGCAAAUCUUGAUUAUGACGCACGAGAAUCUAGUAGCAAGGACUUCGAUCCGUUCGACUGAAUGGCAAAUAGAUGGGAAAAUGGACCUUUAUGACGGAAGACCUGCUGACGAACGUGACCGACAUCGCCGUGAAACCGUCAUGUACGUAACAAAUAAUAAUGUGCUCUCGAUAGUUUAUACGUUAUCUAUAUUAAUCGGAUUAAGUUUCUGUUUCAGUUACAUAUUCAACCGACGCGCGCGCACCCGAGAGAGAGAGAGAGAGAGAGAUGAAAAAAUCCUUUGACGAGACCCUCAAAUGGCGCUUUAAAAUUCAUCUAAAGCUCUUCAUUUUAAUUCUAUGAAUAAAUAAAAUGAUCGAUUUUAAAUUGUAAUGACAUCGUUGAUAUAUAUCACCAAAGCCUUCAAUAAUUGCUUGGUACUUUGAGGAAUUACGUCCUGAAGAUUCUCCUCCGUCAUGUAUAGGUAGCGAACUGCACAUCGUACACUGUUCUACAAAGAUAAUUUAAUGGCAUCGCGAUGUUCCUGUAUAGUUUCUCGCAAUCCUCGAACAUUUCGUUCGGCUGGGAUUUCGUCAUAGCGUUUCUCGUCACGUCGAUCAUCAUUGCAUAUCUGUUCGAGAAUUACUUGCCCUUCCGUUACGGAAAUGUGUCCGGAAAGCGCAUGAACGAACCGGAUCUUCGCGUUUCGCAAACUUGAGGGAGCUUGCUUCCCACCGAUUCUGCUCGAUGUCGAUGUCACGCCGCAGAAUUGCGGUUCGAUGCCCAAGAAUUUGUCCAGCAAAUUGGUGGUCGCCUUAUCUGGCGACUUUUCGAAUUCGUUAUCAUAGCGGUGUACAAUCUUGCUCGGUAUUUGACAUUGCAGCGGCCAAUUGGAGCGGCGUGAUUGGCGUGAUAGACGACAUCGGGAGACAGUACCAAGUACAAAAAUUCUUAACUCGCCGAUAGUAUAAAAAGUAAAUUUUAAGUGAUUUCGGUUCAAACGAGGUUUUUACGUUUUGGUCUUCUUAAAAACCUUUAAAAAUAUCUGCAAAACAAUGCGUAACUACUUGUUAAAUUCUUAUUAAUCAAUAAGAGCUUCGAUGCGUGUACGUGCUAUUUGGUGGAGCAAAAGACAACGUUUUUAUAUAACUCCCAGAGGAAUCGCGACAACACGUAUAAGGAAAAACGGAUAGAGGUCACGAACCAAGCCGGUAUUUUUAGAGACACGAAGAAAUCUCUUGACAAAGAAUUAUUAAAGUUUCCUGAUAACAGACGAUCGUAAACUUACAAUACCUGUUGUACUAUUGGUAUAUACCUUUCUUUUUUUUUCCUUUGACGUAUUUAUGUUACAAGAAUGUAUUAUUAUUAUUUUAUUUAGAAGAGUUUCUAAUUGUGCGAAAAGAGUCAGUGAAAAGUGUCAUAUUUUAAGGCAUAUUUCAGUAAUUGGUAUUAUUGUUUGUCAAAAUUGGAAGAUAAUAAUUGAUAUAACGUGAAAUUUGUACCUGAUCGAGUUACCUGAAUUAAAAUUGAAAUACAAUAUAUAUGCCUCAUUUCACUCUAAUAAAUUGUAAUUCGAUACAUAAUAAAGGUAUUUCAUAUUUUGGAUCUGAUGUAAUGUAUUAUAUGAUUUAUUUAAAAGCUCUAAUACCGAUAUUGGCAAAUUUAAUUAAUAAUCUCAUUUAAUGAUCUCAUAGCCGAGAAUCACUCUAAUUACACGUCUCGUAACAAUUUUACGUAUUAAUAUUGAAAAUUCGACAUAAGCUUUGUUGAUAUUACUGUAAUCCGUGUUAGCUCUUCCGUUGCUGAAGGCGAUUAUAGUUGGCCAACGCAUUUGCAUCUUUUACGCUCGAGAACGAUUAAAAGUUCGCGCGGUUCCUAAAUAUAACAACAGAAUUAAUAGAGGUAGGGAGUAUAUCUAACGUUUAAUUAAUACUUCCCACAAAUAACCUCUUUAUCUCUCGUUUGACCAACGAGAGAGAUACAUAUUUGCUCGUCUCACAUAUGAAAUGACCGAAUCGAUCAUAGUGGAGCUCGUUUUAGUUGAACAGCUUCAAUAAUCGCAAGAAUGUUUACAAUCUGUGGAGACAGAUGAGCUUGAAUGGUAGUCAGAUUAUUAAAAGAGCGAGCUAAUUUUAUGGGAAUGGCCAAUCGAGAAGAAAUAUUAUAUUUGUUAUACACAAAAAUUUAUAUGCAAUGAAGAAAGCAGGCUUCUAAUACAGAAAACCACGAUCAAAAAAUGAUAAAUUGCAAAACAAUGAGUAGAUAUUUGGCACUAACAAACUAUGACUUGCAACCUCGCUAAAAAAGAGCGAAUUGCAAAAUAAGUAAAAGAAAAAUAGUAGAACGAAAA
This is a long non-coding RNA of Monomorium pharaonis (pharaoh ant), 3587 nucleotides long. RefSeq lists it as uncharacterized. Lineage: Eukaryota; Metazoa; Arthropoda; Insecta; Hymenoptera; Formicidae. The transcript is spliced from 2 exons. The record is from RefSeq and is a predicted model, not a curated record.